This 520-nucleotide ribosomal RNA is filed under the name uncultured archaeon. Its description in RNAcentral is "bacterial SSU rRNA". It matches the Rfam family "Archaeal small subunit ribosomal RNA", at positions 337 to 874 of the family's 1478-position model. The record is from RNAcentral.
AAGCCCAAAAGCUGUGGAAGGGUUACCUCCAGGGGCUCCUGAAAAAAGGGGGUUUUCCUUGGGCCUAACCUUUUCGGGAAAUAGAAGGGGGGCAGAAUGGGUGUCAGCCGCCGCGGUAACACCAGCCCCUCGAGUGGUGGGGAUGAUUAUUUGGCCUAAAGCGUCCGUAGCCGGGCCGGGUAAGUCUCCCGUUAAAUCCAGCGUCUCAAGCGUUGGACUGCGGGAGAUACUGCCUGGCUAGAGAGUGGGAGAGGUGUACGGUAUUCUGGGGGUAGGGGCGAAAUCCUUUGAUCCCCGGAGGACCACCAGUGGCGAAGGCUGUACACUAGAACACGUCUGACGGUCAGGGACGAAAGCUGGGGUAGCGAACCGGAUUAGAUACCCGGGUAGUCCCAGCCGUAAACGAUGCAUGCUAGGUGUUGGGUUGGCCACGAGCCACCCCAGUGCCGCAGGGAAGCCGUUAAGCAUGCCGCCUGGGAAGUACGAUCGCAAGAUUGAAACUUAAAGGAAUUGGCGGGGG